Magallana angulata is the source of this 1789-nucleotide long non-coding RNA. RefSeq lists it as uncharacterized. The record is from RefSeq and is a predicted model, not a curated record. NCBI's taxonomy places the organism in Eukaryota, Metazoa, Mollusca, Bivalvia, Ostreida, Ostreidae. The transcript has 2 exons.
UUAUGAUUAGUUUUUGAUUAGCAACAAAGAAGGAUGCAAAUUUAUGAAACAGAUUUCUGAUGUCUGUCCAGAAUGUAGGUAAAACUAUCCAAUGAGCAUACAUGAUUUUUAAGCGAUACAUUUUCUGAAUCAUUGGAUGAUCAAUUCGUUUAGUCUUUCUUGUACUUAUCAUAUUGUGGAUUUCAUAUAAUGCUUUACUGUGCAAAAAAAAACCUUUUUUAAAACAAUUUGAAGCACAUGAAAUAACAUUUGACCAUAUUGUAUGAGAGUUUGCGUAUAGUUUUGGUAGAACACUUUCUUACAAUUACUGCUUACAUGUAACCUUAGAUUGAUCAGCACAGAAUGGAGAUGAACACAUUUUAAAAUGGUUAGAAACAUAACAAAGUAAUGUUGACAGAGGAUUUAUUUCAUUUGUCACCUGCUUACAAUCUCAACAGGUGUUAAUUUUUCAAUGCAUCAUAAAAACUUAAUAAUUUGGUCCUUAAAGAUAGCAAUAGCAAAAAAACGCUUACAGUGGAAUUUCUUAAAGGUUUCAUUUUUAAAAUAUAUAUAAUCAUCUGAUUUCCCAUAAAUACUGUGAACAUAAAUACACCAUUGUUUUUAUUAGACAUAUACAUGAAUAAUGCAUAUAACACAGGGCCAUCUUAAAUAAUACAGAUCUAGUUAAUGUGAUUGACAUAGCACUGAGGUAAUAACAGAAAAAAUAACUGUUGCAGAAGGAUAAUAGAUCACAUUGCUCACCUGAACAACAAUGACCAAAACAGGUAAGUACAAACAAGAAGCCCAUGGGCCACAUUGCUCACAUUAACAAUAUAAUGACCAAAAUAACUAGCUUAGGCCUAACCACUGUGACUAAGCCCAGAUCACUAAUACCAAAAAAGCACUAUAUCAUAAACAUAAACUUUGAUUCUAAAUUAUUGUUUUCAAAAAAAAAUUUUUUUUCUUUAUGAUCUACAUUUAUUUUUAUAUUUCAAAAUUUUUACCAUCUUCUGUGUCCUUUUUAAGCCCAAAGGAGGCAGACAUUAACUCUGAGGUUGAAAAGAAUUAAAAACCAAAAUUUGAAAAAGAUUUGCCAGAACUAACCUGUACAUGCAUGCAGUUAGAUGCCAUACAAACUUUGACCAGAAGAGUUCAAGGGCUAAAAACAAAUCAAGACUGUAACAUACAAAUCCAGUUGGAUAAAAUGCAUUCUCAAAGACUGGGGAAAAAUCUGCAGAAUAACUUAUCAGCAAAUAUCAACACAAAUGAAUACCAAUAUAAGACAUUGUGAAAAAUGUGGAUCCAAACUCUUGAAAAAAAUUACUCAAAUCUAAAAUUCAGGCAUAUUACUGAGUACUCAAUUCAGUCAAAGGAAGAAUAUACAGUUUUACAUAUAUCUAUUAAUUUAGAAGUGAUAGCUACCAAAAUUUGUAAUAUCUAAUCAAUGGGCAAGACGUGUACAUGUAUUUGAACUACAUGUACUUGAAAAUAAAUUCUCUAACAAAACCAAAAACAAAACCAAAAAUAAAAAUACCCUCUUAAACCAGUUACAAAAAUAAGCAUGUAUUGUACAUUUACACUGGUGUUUGGCCAAUACUUGACAGUUACCUGAUUUUUAAGGCAUAUUGUUCAAUCAUACACAUCUAAAUACAAGUUACAAUGAUAUAAGAAACAUAAAGACGGUACAUUGAGACACUGACAAAGACAGUUGCAUUGAAAAUUGCAGAGCAUGUAGGAUAAUUGGAUAUGAUUGUAUGAAUAACUCACAGUGGGCUGUAAGCUGGUAUUUACAGUACGAUAAAAUGGCACA